Molecule: long non-coding RNA, 794 nt
Organism: Cyprinus carpio (common carp)
Lineage: Eukaryota; Metazoa; Chordata; Actinopteri; Cypriniformes; Cyprinidae
Exons: 4
Source: RefSeq, a predicted model, not a curated record
AGAGAGAGAGAGAGAGAGAGAGCAGUGUCUGCGCUCUUACCGGCAGCAGCGCUGGAGUGUGUGUGUGUGUGAGUGUGUGUUUGGUGCAGUCAUACAGAUGCAGUGUGUGUGUCCUGACAGCAGCAUGUGAGUGUGUGUGAGUGUGUGUGUUUUUUGCGAGCAGGUGUUUUUGCCAGGCGUCAGAGGGAGGGACACACACACCCUCCAAAUGAGCAGAAGCACGGAGGCGGCCGGACUAUUCGCCUUUUUCUUUCGUUUUUUGUUCUUCUUCUUCCUCAUCGUGGUUGUGGGAGGCGCUUUCUCCUCUCAUCUGCUCGCGCUGUCCGUCAUCUGCCUGCUCAUCUAUUUCUCCAUCUAUCUCAUCUAUAAUUUCUCUGAUUUGUGAGCGGAGUUUGCGGAGGGACUGUGUGGUCUUACCUCUUCUUCUCUUCCUCCUUUGAUUGUUUGAUUAUAGACUCGCUCGCUUCAUUCAUGAGUCUGGACUGUGCCGCGUCUCCAGAUGAGCAAACACACGCGCCUCUUUCUGCUCUUUUACAAUUGGACUAAAUGCGGAGUGAAGCCGGUUCAGCAGAGGUGAAUGUGAACAGGACGCCGGAGGACGUGUGCACUGUUCGACUCUCUGAAAUCCAGGACUCUGAAGAUCAGCAGUUCCAGAGGACACACACACACUCACACAAACACACACAAGAACAGAGAGAGAUACUGUUGACAGACUGCUAUCAGUGUCCACAGUAGGGUAUGAGAGCGCUACAGCAUCAUGUGGUUUCUCAGAUGGAGGAGUGAGAGUGAGGUGA